AUUGAACGCUGGCGGCAUGCUUUACACAUGCAAGUCGAACGGUAACAGCACUUCGGUGGCUGACGAGUGGCGAACGGGUGAGUAAUACAUCGGAACGUGCCUAGUAGUGGGGGAUAACUACUCGAAAGAGUAGCUAAUACCGCAUGAGAUCUAAGGAUGAAAGCAGGGGACCUUCGGGCCUUGCGCUACUAGAGCGGCUGAUGGCAGAUUAGGUAGUUGGUGGGAUAAAAGCUUACCAAGCCGACGAUCUGUAGCUGGUCUGAGAGGACGACCAGCCACACUGGGACUGAGACACGGCCCAGACUCCUACGUGAGGCAGCAGUGGGGAAUUUUGGACAAUGGGCGCAAGCCUGAUCCAGCAAUGCCGCGUGCAGGAUGAAGGCCUUCGGGUUGUAAACUGCUUUUGUACGGAACGAAAAGCCCUCUUCUAAUACAGGAGGGUCAUGACGGUACCGUAAGAAUAAGCACCGGCUAACUACGUG
This 482-nucleotide ribosomal RNA is filed under the name uncultured bacterium. RNAcentral's name for it is "partial 16S ribosomal RNA". It matches the Rfam family "Bacterial small subunit ribosomal RNA", at positions 30 to 507 of the family's 1533-position model. The record is from RNAcentral.